AAAAGGGAAAGAACAGAAUGCCCCGUGCAGUGUGCCCAGGCCCGGCUGAGUCAUGAGCACAGACCAGGAGGCUGCCCGCUCCUUCACGUGGCACCACCGCCCUCCCCCUGCUGCUGGCCCGGGAACCACGGGUCUGCCAGGCAUACGCGAGGGGGCCCCGCUGAGAAACAUGCCAGGCCUCUGGCACCGGGUGGAUCUCAGCACGGCCAUGUUCGAUGGCGCACAGACCGAAACCUUAAUUGGUAAUACACUGUGAAAUUCGUAAUUCACACCCAGCGAAUGUGUUUCUCCCCUGAGGUGUGGCUCACCCAGCCUAGACAGCCACGAAAGCAGGAUUUCAAACAGGUCUACUUCAUUCUUGAGUAAAACAAACACCCUGUGACUGGCACUACAAGACAGCCAAUGAACACCGGAUUAAAUAGACACCAAGAGAUUUUUAAAAACAGGAGUAACUACAUCCUCACUCAGCUUCCCCGAAGUGAAGCCGGCAGCACCAGCGUGUCCUUGGAGGCCUCAACACCAAGCAGCUCCGGGCCUCCACCCCCUAAAUGCCAGUCAACUCUGAUGCUCAGAGCACCUAGGAGCUAACAAACAGUAAACAGAAGGCCUACCCCACCCCCAGAAAGUAACGGACCACUGUGUGUAUAAUAAAAUUUAGCAGGA
Pipistrellus kuhlii (Kuhl's pipistrelle) is the source of this 663-nucleotide long non-coding RNA. RefSeq lists it as uncharacterized. The transcript is spliced from 2 exons. The record is from RefSeq and is a predicted model, not a curated record. Lineage: Eukaryota; Metazoa; Chordata; Mammalia; Chiroptera; Vespertilionidae.